This 467-nucleotide ribosomal RNA is filed under the name uncultured bacterium. RNAcentral describes it as "partial 16S ribosomal RNA". It matches the Rfam family "Bacterial small subunit ribosomal RNA", at positions 28 to 507 of the family's 1533-position model. The record is from RNAcentral.
GACGAACGCUGGCGGCGUGCUUAACACAUGCAAGUCGAACGGAAAGGCCUCUUUCGGGGGGUACUCGAGUGGCGAACGGGUGAGUAACACGUGAGUAACCUGCCCUUUACUUUGUGAUAACUUCAGGAAACUGUGGCUAAUACCGGAUAGGAGCUCCUGCUGCAUGUUGGGGGUUUGAAAGUUUCGGCGGUUGGGGAUGGACUCUCGGCUUAUCAGCUUGUUGGGGUGGUAGUGGCUUACCAAGGCUUUUACGGGUAUCCGGCCUGAGAGGGUGACCGGCCACAUUGGGACUGAGAUAAGGGCCAGACUCCUACGGGAGGCAGCAGUGGGGAAUAUUGCAAAAUGGGUGGAAGCCUGAUGCAGCCACGCCGUGUGCGGGAUGAAGGCCUUCGGGUUGUAAAACGCUUUCGCUCAUGACGAAGCUUUGUGUGACGGUAGUGGGUAAAGAAGCACCGGCUAACUACGUG